CAUUCAGGCCAAAUUGUUCAAUAGCUGGAAUUACCGGCAGAUUGUAUAGUGUUGACAUUUGGUUUUCUGAAA
This 72-nucleotide small nucleolar RNA is filed under the name Hucho hucho (huchen). The record is from RNAcentral. Lineage: Eukaryota; Metazoa; Chordata; Actinopteri; Salmoniformes; Salmonidae.